AUUUAUUUAAUAUAAAUAGUAUAUUUGACUUCCAAUCAAAAAGUUUGUACCUUAUAACAAAAUAAAUA
RNAcentral lists this transfer RNA (68 nucleotides) under Allacta robusta. RNAcentral's name for it is "tRNA-Gly". Lineage: Eukaryota; Metazoa; Arthropoda; Insecta; Blattodea; Pseudophyllodromiidae. The record is from RNAcentral.